UCUUGCUCACUUGGGUCACUUGAUGGAGUACACCAUUCAUUUUAGCAGUCUGUUCAGGCACUAGUUGAUCAGUUCCUUAUGGCUGAUGCUAAUUGUUAUGGGGAUCGAGUUUUAUAGAGUGUAGUCUUCCUUUUCUGCUUAAUCUUGUUGCUUUUGAAUGGUUUGUAGAAUUUCUGCUUUUCUGGUUUCGGCUUCUUGUUGUAUCUUUGUUCUGGUCCUGUUCUGCGGGUUGUCUUGGCCUGAUGAUCAGAUUUCGCUGCAGAUUUCACUGCUCUUGGUUGGAUCUCCAAAAUUUUGCUUCCCUUUGCAGCAUAAUUUUCGUUCUGUUUUUUUGUGUAUAUUUGUUUACGGGGAAUUG
This 358-nucleotide unclassified non-coding RNA is filed under the name Hevea brasiliensis (rubber tree). The record is from RNAcentral. Lineage: Eukaryota; Viridiplantae; Streptophyta; Magnoliopsida; Malpighiales; Euphorbiaceae.